Molecule: ribosomal RNA, 416 nt
Filed under: Glomeraceae sp.
Lineage: Eukaryota; Fungi; Glomeromycota; Glomeromycetes; Glomerales; Glomeraceae
Description: partial large subunit ribosomal RNA
Source: RNAcentral
CAGUCGUACCUGCGGGUAAUCAGCCUUUUGGGUGUGAUUAUGUGGAGCGUGAGGAGCUAAACACCCUCAUCUUUGCAUGAUUGAAGUCAGUCGUACCUGCGGGUAAUCAGCCUUUUGGGUGUGAUUAUGUGGAGCGUGAGGAGCUAAACACCCUCAUCUUUGCAUAUUCGUGCACUUUGGGUGUACUUGCUCGUGUGGUAGGUUAACAUCAAUUUUGAUCGUCAUAAAAUGACUUGAGGAAUGUAGCUUCGAUCUCGUAUUGAAGUGUUAUAGCCUUUGGUAGAUGUGAUGAUUAGGAUUGAGGAUUGCAACGGAUACCCUUCGGGGCUACCUGUCUGAUCUCUGAAAGUUGCUCUGGUGCUGAAAGCUUGCUUAUGGUAUCAAAGUUGACGUUCAAUAGGUUAGAACGGGAUAAA